GACAGCAGUAGCCGCGGUAAUACGAGGGGGGCAAGCGUUGUUCGGAAUUAUUGGGCGUAAAGGGCGCGUAGGCGGUUUGGCAAGUCUUGUGUGAAAUCUUCAGGCUCAACCUGGGGGCUGCACGAGAAACUGCCGGGCUUGAGUAUGGGAGAGGUGAGUGGAAUUUCCGGUGUAGCGGUGAAAUGCGUAGAUAUCGGAAGGAACACCUGUGGCGAAAGCGGCUCACUGGACCAUAACUGACGCUGAGGCGCGAAAGCUAGGGGAGCAAACAGGAUUAGAUACCCCAGUAGUCCCUGUCUCUUAUAA
This 306-nucleotide ribosomal RNA is filed under the name uncultured bacterium. Its description in RNAcentral is "partial 16S ribosomal RNA". It matches the Rfam family "Bacterial small subunit ribosomal RNA", at positions 507 to 809 of the family's 1533-position model. The record is from RNAcentral.